This 86-nucleotide transfer RNA is filed under the name Elusimicrobia bacterium CG1_02_37_114. RNAcentral's name for it is "tRNA-Leu". It matches the Rfam family "tRNA". Rfam says of the family: Transfer RNA (tRNA) molecules are approximately 80 nucleotides in length. Their secondary structure includes four short double-helical elements and three loops (D, anti-codon, and T loops). RNAcentral also lists the same sequence under 2 other names. The record is from RNAcentral. Lineage: Bacteria; Pseudomonadati; Elusimicrobiota.
GCCGGGGUGCUGGAAUUGGUAGACAGGCUGGUCUCAAAAACCAGUUCCGUUUUGACGGAGUGAGGGUUCGAUUCCCUCUCCCGGCA